UUGGCUGGCGUGUGUCCUCCGAUUACAUCAUUCCGGCAGUAAUCGGUUUACGGUGAUACUGCUCCCUGAAACCCGACGACGAAGUUAAUUUUGACGGCUAAAUCUUGAGGAUGAUUUUGAUUACAUAUGGAAAAAAAAAGAAGCCACAUAACUAAUGACGAUGACUUUAAGGAGAACACUCCCAUCAACAUACUAUAUGGGCGAAACAAGGCAACGGUUCAGAAAAAAGUGGGUUGUGCAGGAUGACAAAUUAUACUUAUAAAAGAGCUGCAUAACAAUCAGAUCACAGUCCCAGCUUCAUUCUGACGUUGGGGUAGGCAAUGAGGAUGAUACAAAAACCAAAGCCUCGAGUGAUGAUGUAAAGGGGGGAUUUUACUAGCCCAUUGAAUGACUAGGCAUCUGAAUUCUUCCCCGCGCAGCGCAGGAAGAGGUCACGUUUUUCCCUUGAAGCUCAGGAGGCAUCACCUCAAGCAAGCUCGAAUGAUGAUGAUUCCUAGAGUACUACAACAGACCCUGUAUCAAGUGUUUCACCGAAUGGGAGAUUUAGACGUGUUAUUUCAUCUUGGCAGAAGGGUGAUCUCUUGGGCAGUGGAUCAUUUGGAUCUGUGUAUGAGGGAAUUGCUGAGUAUGUGUUAACUGCUUUUCCAUUUUACUUUCGUGCUUGUCAUUGCAAAAAUAUGAAGUAGUAUUCAUCUGAGCACGAAGCCGUAUGGUCUAUGCAUUUGGGCUGCCAUUAUUUGUAAUUUGGAGUUAGUGGCUUUCUUGAACACUAUACUUAGGGUAUUUUCAUGAUUGUGUAAGGUCAGGUGGACUUUACUUUUUAAAAAUCAUGAUUCUAGGGACCCCCACUCCAGCUGCUGACUGGAGCUUGAUCAUGAUUGUGUAACUGGCCGUCACAGUUACAGGGACUACGAAUGAUUUGGACGAGGACGAGGACGAUGACAGUACUGAUGAUGAUGAUAUGGACGACUUGAGGUUCAGCGGAGCUCGACUGGCAGCACCCGACAGGCGCCAUCGUCCUCCGGGGCAACGGGCGAGGUUAUUCGCACAUCGGAUGACGGGGAGGCUCAGAGGGCAAGGCAGGUAAAGUGGUUGGGUUUGGAAGGGAAUUUAGAUUGUUUUUGCAUUAGAUUGAAAAGACAUUAGUAUAUGUAUUAUUGGGUAGGGACUUGUUUAUUGUUAGUUCCUUUCCACUGAACAUAAUCCCCAAAUAUG
Salvia splendens (bonfire salvia) is the source of this 1215-nucleotide RNA transcript. RefSeq lists it as uncharacterized. Lineage: Eukaryota; Viridiplantae; Streptophyta; Magnoliopsida; Lamiales; Lamiaceae. The transcript is spliced from 4 exons. The record is from RefSeq and is a predicted model, not a curated record.